GUCAGGAAGACCUGGAUUCAAAUGCAGCUUCAGACACUUACUAGAUAUGUGACCCUAGACAAGUCAUUUAAUCCCAUUUUCCUCAGUUACUAAUCUAUAAAAUGAGCUGGGGAAGGAAAUGGCAAACCAUUAAAGCAUCUUUGCUGAGAACAUCCCCAAUGGGGUCAGGAAGAGUCAGAUAUGACUGAAACAACUAAAUAACAAACAGCUCUAAAAAGACUUCAGAAUCCAACCCCAUCAUUUUACAGAUGAAGAAACUGAGUUCCAAGAAAAUAACCUGACUUGCCCAAGGCUACACAAGUAGUGGCAGAGGUGGGAGACGUACCUAGGUCCUCACUGAGUCUUGGGGAGGUUACGUAUUAUCCCUAAGGUUAAAAAUGGAGUUAGCAAAAAUGAUCAGUUUUGAACUCAAAUCCCUCUGACUCCAGAGCUAGCAUUAUUUCCAUAUUUUAAGUUGCUUCUCCAUCUAGUUCAACCCUCUCUUCUUACAGAUGAAAUAACUGGGGCCCAAGAGUUUAGGUGACUUUGACCAAGUGAGCUCAGAGACAGUACGUGAACCUAGGACUUCCUAGCCUCAAGAGCAGCUCUCUAUCUACUCUGCCGUGAUCAUUUCCCUGGUAUGUUCAGAAAUAUCUAGGGAUAUUCUACAUUUGAUUAUAGAGACAGGAGCCAUUGUGGAAUUUUGCUUUGUUUGUCCAAGUAUAAGCAAAAACAAAGAGAACAUUGUACACAGAGACUGAUACACUGUGGCGCAGUGGCACAAUCAAAUGCAAAGGACUUUUCUACUAGCAGCAAUGCAAUGAUCCAGGACAAUUUUGAGGGACUUAUGAGAAAGAACACUAUCCACAUGCAGAGAAAGAACUGUGGGAGCAGAAAUGCAUAAGAAAAACAUAUGAUCAAUCAUGUAUUUUGAUGGGGAUAUUAUUAGGGUUUUGAUGUUAAAAGAUUGCUCUAUUAUAGAUAUGAAUAACAUGGAAAUAGGUUUUUGAACAAUGAUGCAUGUAUAACCCAGUGGAAUUAUUUGUGAGUUCUGAGAGGGGGGAGGGAAGAGGAUUGGGAAAAAUAAUGAA
RNAcentral lists this long non-coding RNA (1070 nucleotides) under Monodelphis domestica (gray short-tailed opossum). RNAcentral's name for it is "lncRNA (ENSMODG00000048773.1)". Lineage: Eukaryota; Metazoa; Chordata; Mammalia; Didelphimorphia; Didelphidae. The record is from RNAcentral.